This is a long non-coding RNA of Homo sapiens (human), 499 nucleotides long. Ensembl annotates it as MIR646 host gene. Its record names the gene MIR646HG. The record is from Ensembl. NCBI's taxonomy places the organism in Eukaryota, Metazoa, Chordata, Mammalia, Primates, Hominidae.
AGGCGGUGCUGGGGUGCACCAGGGCAGCAGCUACAGGCCCUGCUGAAAGGGUUGACAAUGAAGACUCUCAGGCCACCGUAACUCAUGGAGAAGCCCUGAGCAUCUGGCCCGCUUAAUGCACCAGCUGGAGUCGACAUUAAAGGGCCCCAUUUCCCAUUUGCUGCAGAAGAUGUUUAAUUGGAAGUCUCUCCCUGUCCUUUUACCCUCUGGUGCUGGGCACCAAUGAGAAGCUCAUCUGGCCCCGGGAUCCUGGCAGGACACUGGGAGCACUAUUUCCAUGGGCAGCAGGGUUGUUCCUGGAGACAUCACUGACCCAGGACACCUAGCACAAUGGCACUCGAUGUGAAAGUGGCUUCGUACAAAUCUGCCACUCAAGCCUAAAUAAGUGCAUUCCAGAAGAGCCGCAGCCCCUCUAACAGCUCCUGAGAGAUGACAGAAGAGACAUCCAGGAGUAGAUUUCAAUGCACAGCAGCAGCUGAGAGAAGCCAGCUGUGAAAAA